UUUAAAAAAAUGUAUGGAAACAUAUAUUUUUUGGAAUCAGCUUACUAGGAGCUAUCAUUUGACGAUUGAAAUGACAUUUUAAACUUAGUUUCACAACUUUUCAUAUCAAAAUACAUUGUUUUGAUGGAAAGACCUUCAAUUGUUCUCUGAACAAUUGGUUUUUAAUUUUUUUUUUUUUUCUUCCGCCAAAUUUUGUUCUUGCGAUAAACAUUUGUUUCGCAAUAUGUCGCUUAGAUAUUUGGUAUAUGAUAUCGAACAGUUUAUGCGCUUUUGAAAUUUACCCUGCGUAACCGAAUACUUUUCUUUGUAGGAGUUAUCUCCCCAAACACUGUUUUCCUUGUGCUCACAACUCCUUCGCAACCGUAAAAGAUUACGACAAAUUUAUUUUAUAAAAUUGCUCGUUAUAUCCUUCGCAUGAUUUGUCU
RNAcentral lists this long non-coding RNA (425 nucleotides) under Mytilus galloprovincialis (Mediterranean mussel). The record is from RNAcentral. Lineage: Eukaryota; Metazoa; Mollusca; Bivalvia; Mytilida; Mytilidae.